RNAcentral lists this ribosomal RNA (497 nucleotides) under uncultured bacterium. RNAcentral describes it as "partial 16S ribosomal RNA". It matches the Rfam family "Bacterial small subunit ribosomal RNA", at positions 28 to 507 of the family's 1533-position model. The record is from RNAcentral.
GAUGAACGCUGGCGGCGUGCCUAAUACAUGCAAGUCGAGCGAACGGACGAGAAGCUUGCUUCUCUGAUGUUAGCGGCGGACGGGUGAGUAACACGUGGAUAACCUACCUAUAAGACUGGGAUAACUGCGGGAAACCGGAGCUAAUACCGGAUAAUAUUUUGAACCGCAUGGUUCAAAAGUGAAAGACGGUCUUGCUGUCACUGAUAGAUGGAUCCGCGCUGCAUUAGCUAGUUGGUAAGGUAACGGCUUACCAAGGCAACGAUGCAUAGCCGACCUGAGAGAGUGAUCGGCCACACGGGAACUGAGACACGGUCAAGACUCCUACGGGAGGCAGCAGUAGGGAAUCUUACGCAAUGGGCGAAAGCCUGACGGAGCAACGCCGCGUGAGUGAUGAAGGUCUUCGGAGCGUAAAACUCUGUUAUUAGGGAAGAACAUAUGUGUAAGUAACUGUGCACAUCUUGACGGUACCUAAUCAGAAAGCCACGGCUAACUACGUG